AUUGAACGCUGGCGGCAGGCCUAACACAUGCAAGUCGAGCGGAGCGGCGGACGCGUGCGUAAGACUUAGGAAUCUGCCACGUACCGGGGGAUGACGUCCAGCAACGGGCGCUAAUACCGCAUACUAUCAGAUGAGCCUAGGUCGGAUUCGCGAGUUGGUGGGGUAGAGGCCUACCAUGGCGACGAUCCGUAACUGGUCCGAGAGGAUGAUCCGUCACACUGGAACUGAGACACGGUCCAGACUCUGACGGGAGGCAGCAGGGGGAAAUAUUGGACAAUGGGCGAAGGCCUGAUGCAGCCAUGCCGCGGGGGUGAAGAAGGUCUUCGGAUUGUAAGGCACUUUAAGUGGGGAGGCGGUACCAGCAGAAUAAGCACCGGCUAACUUCGUGCCAGCAGCCGCGGUAAUAC
This 407-nucleotide ribosomal RNA is filed under the name uncultured bacterium. RNAcentral describes it as "partial 16S ribosomal RNA". It matches the Rfam family "Bacterial small subunit ribosomal RNA", at positions 29 to 526 of the family's 1533-position model. The record is from RNAcentral.